This 254-nucleotide ribosomal RNA is filed under the name uncultured bacterium. RNAcentral's name for it is "partial 16S ribosomal RNA". It matches the Rfam family "Bacterial small subunit ribosomal RNA", at positions 524 to 776 of the family's 1533-position model. The record is from RNAcentral.
GACAUAGGUGGCGAACGUUAUCCGGAAUCACUGGGCGUAAAGGGCGCGUAGGCGGCCCGCACAAGUCUGCGGUGAAAACCCCCGGCUUAACCGGGGGCCGGCCGUGGAAACUGUCGGGCUAGAGGCCGGGAGAGGGCAGCGGAAUUCCCGGUGUAGCGGUGGAAUGCGUAGAGAUCGGGAGGAACACCGGCGGCGAAGGCGGCUGCCUGGACCGGCCCUGACGCUGAGGCGCGAAAGCUAGGGGAGCAAACAGG